Molecule: ribosomal RNA, 253 nt
Filed under: uncultured bacterium
Lineage: Bacteria
Description: partial 16S ribosomal RNA
Rfam family: Bacterial small subunit ribosomal RNA
Source: RNAcentral
UACAGAGGUCUCAAGCGUUGUUCGGAUUCACUGGGCUUAAAGCGUGUGUAGGCGGAUCGUUAAGUGCCUUGUGAAAUCCCACGGCUUAACUGUGGAACGGCUGGGCAUACUGGCGGUCUUGAGCCAUCUAGGGGCGACUGGAACAAACGGUGGAGCGGUGAAAUGCGUAGAUAUCGUUUGGAACGCCAAUGGUGAAAACAGGUCGCUGGGGAUGAGCUGACGCUGAGACACGAAAGCCAGGGGAGCAAACGGG